This 356-nucleotide ribosomal RNA is filed under the name Synasterope sp. japan277. Its description in RNAcentral is "partial large subunit ribosomal RNA". The stretch from base 237 to 356 matches the Rfam family "Bacterial large subunit ribosomal RNA", at positions 2473 to 2593 of the family's 2925-position model. The record is from RNAcentral. Lineage: Eukaryota; Metazoa; Arthropoda; Ostracoda; Myodocopida; Cylindroleberididae.
UAGAGAUAGAAAUUAAUUAUUGAGUAAAAAGGCUUAGCUGUUGUGAAGUGACAAGAAGACCCUAAGAGUUUAAUUAGAGUAUUUAGGUGUAAUAUUGUGUGUAUGUAUAAUAUAAUUAAAUAUAAUGAUUUAACUGGGGCGGUUAAAAUAAUAACAAUUAUUGAUAGAUAACUAUAGUAGGAGGGCGAGUUAAAAUAAAUAUAUCCUAAUUGGAAAGCAGUAUAAAUUACCUUAGGGAUAACAGCAUAAUCUUUUUUGAGAGAUCUUAUUGACAGAAAGGUUUGUGACCUCGAUGUUGGAUUUGAAUAACUAUAAGGAGCAGAAUUUUUAUAAGUUGGUUUGUUCAACCAUUAAAU